GAGCCAGCCAGGUGUCACUGGUGAAACAGAGAGAAGGCCCAGUGUCUACCCUGCUCUCCUCACCCAGACAAAUGGGCUGCCUCCUGGAAGGAACAACAGAUCUGUCUCCUGCUGAGCGCCACACACAAACCCAUUUUCAUCCAGAAUCCCUGAGGUCAGGCUGUUUGUGAAGAGCAGAGAGCUGUCCUCCACCAGUUCUGAAGACUGGAAGACCGAGCACAAACAAGCAGCAGGUCUUAUGUGUGCAAGGUUGCUGCUCUCGGCUUCCAGGAUGAGCCUCAGGCUGCUCAGGAUGACUACUUUAAAAACUGUGAUCAACAACAGUAAACAGCAGCCAACCAACGACCUCCACUGCCUCUCGGGGCCCUAGCAUUUAUACGCUCUCUGAAAAGUCCCCAGAAUUCCAGACAUCACACAAGUGCAGGAACUAUCUGCAGCUGACAAAAUUGUGCCUCCCCCAGAGGCAAAUCAUAGUCAGUUGUUGUGAAGCAUCCCCAGGUCCCCACACCUAGGAUUAAAAUGAAAACAUAUUCUUAUAAUAGUUCUGUGUUUUGUUUAAAGAAAUCAAAAUUUCAAAAUUCUCAUUACAGCCCUGCUCUGUUCCCCUGGAGCACAGAGGACCAGGGUAGCACACAUUGAAUUUGGUUCUCGGCCACAAGACAGAAUGGCCAGACUGUUUAUAUACCCACUGGACAGCAGUGCCCCAAGGUGCUCGCCUCUGGACCCCAGCAACCCCCUCUUCAUCUCUUGGCAGCCUCUAAGCUGCAUUCU
Molecule: long non-coding RNA, 771 nt
Organism: Meriones unguiculatus (Mongolian gerbil)
Lineage: Eukaryota; Metazoa; Chordata; Mammalia; Rodentia; Muridae
Exons: 3
Source: RefSeq, a predicted model, not a curated record